AAGGAUCAUUAAUGAAACUUCAAAGUCGGCCAAAGGUUGUUGCUGGUGAUUAUUCACAURUGCACGCCUUUGGUCGCAAAUCCACACACACCUGUGCAUCUAUGACUCGAGGUUGUAAUGACUGAGAGUAACUUUUAUACACUCUUGUAUGUAAUGGAAUGUCUUUUUGUGCUAUAAUGUACAAUAUAAACAACUUUCAACAACGGAUCUCUUGGCUCUCGCAUCGAUGAAGAACGCAGCGAAAUGCGAUAAGUAAUGUGAAUUGCAGAAUUCAGUGAAUCAUCGAAUCUUUGAACGCACCUUGCACCCUUUGGUAUUCCGAAGGGUACGCCCGUUUGAGUGUCAUUGUAAUCUCACUUCUACAACUUUAUUGUUGUUUGAAUGUGGACUUGGAUGUUGCCGUUUUAUCACGGCUCGUCUUAAAUGCCUGAGUGUACCCUGUUUUGCAGCGUAUCCAGUGUAAUAAACAUUUCACUAGAGUUGGUCGAAAGACCGCGUUGACUAUAUGGGCUCUAUGCUUCAAACCGUCUGCCAUGUGGACAAUUUCUUGACAAUUUGACCUCAAAUCGGGUGGGACUACCCGCUGAACUUAAGCAUAUCAAUAAGCGGAGGAAAAGAAACUAACAAGGAUUCCCCUAGUAACGGCGAGUGAAGAGGGAAAAGCUCAAAUUUUAAAUCUGGUGUCUUUGACUCCCGAGUUGUAAUCUAGAGAAGUGUUUUCCGUGUCGGACCGUGUACAAGUUCCCUGGAACGGGGCGUCAUAGAGGGUGAGAAUCCCGUAUAUGCCACGGACUACCGAUGCUCUGUGAUACACUCUCAACGAGUCGAGUUGUUUGGGAAUGCAGCUCAAAAUGGGUGGUAAAUUCCAUCUAAAGCUAAAUAUUGGCGAGAGACCGAUAGCGAACAAGUACCGUGAGGGAAAGAUGAAAAGCACUUUGGAAAGAGAGUGAAACAGUACGUGAAAUUGUUGAAAGGGAAGCGUUUGAAGUCAGUCGCAUCUGUUGGGGUUCAGCCUGGCUUUUGCCUGGUGUAUUUCCUUUCCGAUGGGUCAGCAUCAGUUUCGAYCGAGGGAAAAAGACAUUUGGAAUGUGGCUGUCUUCGGGCAGUGUUAUAGCCUUGUGUUGUAUGUCUCGGUUGGGACUGAGGAUUGCAGCGCGCCAUAAAUGGCCGGGGGUCGCUCCUCUCGACACGCGCUUAGGAUGCUGGC
This 1207-nucleotide ribosomal RNA is filed under the name uncultured Sebacinales. RNAcentral's name for it is "eukaryotic LSU rRNA". Lineage: Eukaryota; Fungi; Basidiomycota; Agaricomycetes; Sebacinales. The record is from RNAcentral.